RNAcentral lists this ribosomal RNA (274 nucleotides) under uncultured bacterium. RNAcentral describes it as "partial 16S ribosomal RNA". It matches the Rfam family "Bacterial small subunit ribosomal RNA", at positions 523 to 796 of the family's 1533-position model. The record is from RNAcentral.
AUACGGAGGGUGUAAGCGUUAAUCGGAAUUACUGGGCGUAAAGAGUACGUAGGCGGCCUACUAAGUCAGAUGUGAAAGCCCAGGGCUCAACCUUGGAACUGCAUUUGAAACUGGUAGGCUAGAGUAUGGUAGAGGGGGGUAGAAUUUCUGGUGUAGCGGUGAAAUGCGUAGAUAUCAGAAGGAAUACCAGUGGCGAAGGCGGCCCCCUGGCCCAAUACUGACGCUGAGGUACGAAAGCGUGGGUAGCGAACGGGAUUAGAAACCCCAGUAGUCC